Small nuclear RNA from Capra hircus (goat), 104 nucleotides. The record is from Ensembl. Lineage: Eukaryota; Metazoa; Chordata; Mammalia; Artiodactyla; Bovidae.
GUGCUAGCUUCGGCAGCAUAUAUACUAAAAUUGGAACGAUACAGAGAUUAGCAUGGCCCCUGUGCAAGGAUGACACACAAAUUUGUGAAGCAUUCCAUAUUUUU